AUGAAAAGAUGAAAUAAUGAGCUCGCUUCCAGGCUCGCGAAGCAAAAAAAUUGAGCACUACCCAAAAAAAUCGAGCAAAAUUUGUUAGGAGGGAGCUCCAAAGAGAGACAGAGAGCUACGGAAAUGGAAAUGGCAAUAUAAAUGGGCGCAGAGCCCAGAGCAGAGAGCUCUCUCGGAGACUCCGUGUGUUCUGUGUGCUC
Non-coding RNA from Caenorhabditis elegans, 200 nucleotides. The record is from Ensembl. Lineage: Eukaryota; Metazoa; Nematoda; Chromadorea; Rhabditida; Rhabditidae.